Molecule: non-coding RNA, 45 nt
Filed under: Schistosoma mattheei
Lineage: Eukaryota; Metazoa; Platyhelminthes; Trematoda; Strigeidida; Schistosomatidae
Source: RNAcentral
AUCCAUCUGACGAGUCCCAAAUAGGACGAAACACGCCCCUUGGAU